Molecule: long non-coding RNA, 1170 nt
Filed under: Sorghum bicolor (sorghum)
Lineage: Eukaryota; Viridiplantae; Streptophyta; Magnoliopsida; Poales; Poaceae
Description: long non-coding RNA (SBIC_LNC004195)
Source: RNAcentral
CUAGAAGGGCCAAACCUCAGUCCCUGUAGUGUCCCGUGUACACGUACGUAGGAUGUGAAGCAUUUGCCUGGCGGCCAUGCUCAUGCGGCCCGUGCGUCAACGUCGUGGCAUAGGAAAAAGAAAAAUGUCACCAAUUAAUUUAGAGAAAAAAAAGUGAUGGACCACGUAGCUUGCAACCAUGCUACACUACACAGCCGAAAAGAUUCGUUGAACCUUGCCAACCAGCCACAUGUGUUUUUAUCGUCGCAGUCGCAGCCUCACGGUCCCUCUCCGCAAAUUGAGCAGUGGCAAUGGAGCAUGUCUCAUGUGUGGGCCUGCCUGUACCAUGCCGCGCUGGACCUGUCGCGCUCGCCUGUACUGUACCAUGGUUUUCCAUUCCUGAUCGUUCAACCACCCGGCUGCGCUAGCUUUGUGAUACGCGCCCGUUCUUCUCGUCUCAGAAAAAAAUAAAAAUCAUGUCAUCAGGGUUCCAAAGAAGCUCUACAAGCAGUAGCAUUCGAUGGGAACCGACCGGAGGCGGGAAGUCGCCUCAGCUCUCUCAUACUCAUAGCCCGUUUGUCCUCUACGUACUCGACUGCUCCUGACUCCCUCUCACCUCCCAAUCCUUAUCCUCUUCUCUCUCUCGUCCGUCUCUCCAUCAGCUUAGUCUAUUCGUUUGAACUUAUUAACCAAUUAUUAGUUAUACAACAAUAUUUUUCUCUCACAACAGUUUCUAUCAUAGUUUACGAGUCAAACGAACAAGACAGUCCGGCGAGGCGAGGCGAGGCGAGGCGAGGCUGCAACUUGCCGGAGGAGCGAGCGUCGGAGCUGAAAGUUCAAUGUAAUCUAGUAGCCUGACUGAAAACAAAAUAGGGAAAGUGUACCUAUGCAAUUGGUUCCUAAAACUUUGAAAAACUUUAAUUUGUUCCGCUGCGCUGAAAGAUCGAAUGAUUUAGAAAUAGCCCCUAGGAUCGGAACAAUAUAUCUAGCUUGGUAGAAUCUAGCUAAGAGCAGACAUAUGAAAUUUGUUCAUGAAUUUUCAGAUGGCGUGUUAUAUAUUCUAACAUAUAUGUAUCCCUAUGAUAUAAUAUUAAUUAAAAAGCUAAGGAUUAUUUUCUUCGUCUGUCUAAUCGGACUCGGAGUGCCAACUCUCGUUUCUUCUAAUUUUAUAUAGUAUAUAAAUGGAACCAG